Molecule: RNA transcript, 3576 nt
Organism: Spinacia oleracea (spinach)
Lineage: Eukaryota; Viridiplantae; Streptophyta; Magnoliopsida; Caryophyllales; Amaranthaceae
Exons: 5
Source: RefSeq, a predicted model, not a curated record
AAAAUCUCAAUUUUCCUUAAUUGCCGCCAAAGAAAAAAAAAAGAAUUUGGGUUUAACUUUGUGAAAUCUGUGAAACCGCCAAAGACCAAAAGAAAAAAAAGAAGGAAAAAGUUAGAAAAAGUCGUAUUACAAAACUUCCUUCCUCCCAAAUAGAGGCAACUAUUCAUCCUUGGGUUUAAUUUAUCAGAAAAUCGCCGUCUCGAUCCCAAGUUCCAUCGAAUGCGCACUUUCAAAUUCAGGUUUCAUCGAAUUCGCGAUUCCAAUUUUCUGGUCUUAAUCGUCGUCUCCAUCGUGGUGUUGAUCGGGAUUUAUCGAAUUCGCAGGCUUCCAAUUGUAGAUAUUUCGAAUGUCUUCACCUUGAAUUGGGUAUUUCGAACUUCUUCACCUUGGAUUGAGUAUUCGAGAAGGAAUGCGGCUUGUGGUUUGCUCACUGGAUUGACUCGUGUUAGGAGAUUCCAGCAGGUGACAUAUGAAGUCAGGGUUGGACUAGAUUUUAUCAACUACGUGUAUGACAAAUUUGGGUUUACGUUCGAGCUAAAGCUGUAAAUCGUAUGAGAAUACUCUCUUACUUCCUUUUUAGUACUUGCUUUCAUUAGUAUUAGUAUCUGAAACAAUGUUUUUUAAGAUGAUAUCCUAUUUCAAUCCUUUUGAGUUUUGUUUUUAUGUAAUGUUUGGUGAAUCUGGUUGUUUCUCUACUUAAUGCCUUUAACUACACGUGAUACACCUUUUCUCAAAUUACCAAAAUCUGAAAGGAAAGGGGGUGGAAGGGAUGUUUACCACGUUUAUAUGAUAAUUAUCACUGAUGUUGACCCUAUAAAAUUGCUGGUAUUGUUUGAGACCUUUGAGUAUAUAUACUUUUUGAAUGUGUGAUUGAUUCCCUCUUGUAGGAGGCAAGCAGGUAAUGUUUUCUUUGUAUAAAAAUCUACUAUGAGUAUUUCUGUGUUGAUAACCUUUGGUGCCCGUUUGCUAAAUAAGAAAUUACAGUAGGUCCUUUCUUGAUAAGUAUGUCCUGCUAGUCUGCUACCCUGCAGUCAGUUAUAUUCUUCUUUUUCUUCCUGUGAGUCUGCGACCUGUGGAAAAAUUGGCAGUGAGUUUGGGCUCUUUAGCUAAUGUUGAACUGUUUUGUGCCUUUUUUAAUCUCUUUUUGAACAAGCAUAUAUCGCUCCCCGUUUUUUCUAGAGUAUGCGACGAAUGCAGAUGACAAAAUAUAUGAGGAGUGGCUUUUUAACAAGCAAUCUGAUUAAUCCACUGACAUCUUGUCAAGAUAAUUAAAGGGUAUGUUGAUAAUAUUUUAGUGCAGGAUAUAUGGAAAGACAUAUAUAAGCCGUUUUAUGAAAUAAGGAACUAAGACCUACAAAAAACAAGCUUAAGUGUCUGGCAGUAACGAGAUGGGUAAGAGCACAGUCUUAUCGGCUUAAAUUUGUAAACCCCAAUGGCAUUACACCACACCAGCUGGUAGUAUGUGUCAUGAUGUCUGGAUGUAUGUCAUUAUGCCAAAACCUUAAGGACAAUAGCUCCUAGCUGUCUGAAUGGUUAUCAAGAUGAGAAAAUAGCUUUUAGAGACAAAACCUUAAGGACAGAAAUGGGUAACCAAUGAAAGAAGGUUCAAGAUGUUAAGGCAUAUGAAUAAUCUGUAUAUUUUCUUGAGUUGUCUUUGUUAAUCUUUUUAUUUAUUUUUUUGACAUAAGCUAAUACAAACAACUAAGGAAAAUGACAAAAAGAAAAAAGAGAGGUUGAAGCAGCCUUUGCCAGCACGUGAGCCUGCUCAACCCUUGAUCUAUCCACCUUGUUAAUGCAGCACCAGAGAAAGGAUUUCCCGAUGUUUUUAAUUUCAGCAAUUGUCCAGAUGAGUUGAAUGUCCAUGAUGUCUGGCGAUCGAAGAAUUUCCACAAGACAUUGGGAAUCCGUGAAAACUGUAAUUCUCCUUAGCCCGGCUUGAGAAGCCCAACGCAAACUUAAGAGACAAGCUAAAACCUCAGUGUGGAGUGCUGAAAAUGCCGUUCCAUGUUGCGCCCCCCCUAUAAUUCGAUCAGUAGAACUUUGAUCCCUAUCCAAACACCAACCCAUACCUGAAUUCUUUGAAUUCUUAAACCAGGAGCCAUCGACCACUAUAAUCGAAAUAGGAUCUUGUGUUUCUAACCCAGUCAAAAUAACUCUAGAGAAACCCGGUGGGUAGGUAGGAUCCCCCUCCGGAGGAUGUAGAAACCCUAAAUGGAGAGACUGGUUUUUAAGCAGAAUUGCAUGCUGGUCCAACCCUAUUUGUAUAAGGUUAAUAACUGCUGAGGUAUUAGAAACUUCACCCCUGAAUACUCUUUUGUUCCUAACCAACCAUAAGCUCCAAAGAGUACUUAUGAAAUAAACCAUCCUUGGACUAUGGAUACCAUCCUGACGAUGAAAUAGUCGGAUAUAAAACAGAAACCAUUCUUGAAAAGACAUAGUUUCGUUGAUAUUUGAAUGGAUAGCAAGUGACCCAUGCCUCCAAACAUCACGCGCAAUGUAGCAAAAACGAAAAAGAUGUUGAGAAUCUUCAUCUUCUAAGCUACACACCUCACACCUCGAAGACAGUUGGACUCCUCUCCUUUCAAGGUUUGCCUUAGUGGCAACACCAUUGUGAAGUAGCUUCCAUAUGAACAGCUUCCAUUUAGGGAGAAGUUUCAUAGACCAUAAGAGUUUAAAAAACUUAACCUCUGAAUUAAGCCAGCUUCUGUUGAUCUUUGUUAAUCUAAGCUUAUUGUUUCUGUUGUUAUAUAUUCACAAAUUUGAUAUAACCAUAGACGAGAUGAUUUGUUGCCUUCUUUUCAGGUUUUAUGCUCAGCACUUACUGUAAAUUCCUGGACUAGAUAAAGAAACAGGAAAUAAACUGCCUUUGUGACAUUGAUGACAUUUGAUAAAUGUUGCUUAUUUUAGAUUUUGCUUGAUAUGUUGGUUUUUAAUUUGUACCCAAGUAUUGGUUGAAAUUCAUAAGCAGACCUAUUGUUUACAGGAGCUUCUCAAAUACCCAAGUGUUGGUUGAAAGUCAUAAGAAGAUCUAUUUGUUCAUUGAGUCAGGUCAAGGUGUCAGAGAAUGAAAGACUUAACGCAAAAAAGGAUAUAAGAUAAUUUACUUUUAAGAAUUUUAUUUUUUUGCUUUUCUUUAUUAUGGAUAUUAGAUCAUACUAAUUUUAUACUUUUUAUAGGAUCAAGAUGAUGGAGUGGAUCUGAUAGGAAAUGAAGAUUGAGUUGACAUUGAGAAUCAUGCGCAUAUAAGGGAAAACAGAUGAAGAUGAAAACAUAGAAGACAAUGAGUUUUGGAUUUACAUUUUAUUUUUAUAUACAACCAGUUGGUUUUAUUUUGAACUAAUGUAAUUUUCAUAGACCGUACAUCAAAUACAUUAGAAUGUUAGAUUAACCUUCAAAAUGACAUUUCCAUAUUCGUGUAACUAACAAUUUCGGAUUACUAUUAUUGUCACUAUUCUUCUUUUUAUGGUUAAUAAUUUUUUUUUCUUAUAAUAACUUUACCAUUGUUACUAUGCACUUAUAGUUAUUGUAUUUAAUAUAUUAUAAUGAUUUAUUAUAAAUAUUAUUAUUAUUUGUGAA